GACGAACGCUGGCGGCGUGCUUAACACAUGCAAGUCGAACGGCAAGGCCCUGCUUUUGUGGGGUGCUCGAGUGGCGAACGGGUGAGUAACACGUGAGUAACCUGCCCUUGACUUUGGGAUAACUUCAGGAAACUGGGGCUAAUACCGGAUAGGAGCUCCUGCUGCAUGGUGGGGGUUGGAAAGUUUCGGCGGUUGGGGAUGGACUCGCGGCUGAUCAGCUUGUUGGUGGGGUAGUGGCUUACCAAGGCUUUGACGGGUCGCCGGCCGGAGAGGGGGACCGGCCACAUGGGUACUGAGAGACGGCCCAGACUGCUACGGGAGGCAGCAGUGGGGAAUAUUGCACAAUGGGCGGAAGCCUGAUGCAGCAACGCCGCGUGCGGGAUGACGGUCUGCGGGUUGUAAACCGCUUUCGCCUGUGACGAAGCGUGAGUGACGGUAAUGGGUAAAGAAGCACCGGCUAACUACGUG
Molecule: ribosomal RNA, 468 nt
Filed under: uncultured bacterium
Lineage: Bacteria
Description: partial 16S ribosomal RNA
Rfam family: Bacterial small subunit ribosomal RNA
Source: RNAcentral